Molecule: ribosomal RNA, 2589 nt
Filed under: alkali sediment metagenome
Description: bacterial LSU rRNA
Rfam family: Archaeal large subunit ribosomal RNA
Source: RNAcentral
AUGCCUCGGCUAUGGCGUGGGAAACUGGUAGUAAGCAACUUCCAAGACUAGAUACGACCUGAGACCGAUAGCGCACUAGUACCGUGAGGGAAAGUUGAAAAGUACCCCGGAAGGGGGGUGAAAAGAGCCUGAAAUCAGGUGGUCACAAGCGUGUACGGUUCGAAAGGAUAGAUCCCCUCGAAAGGAGACCGUGGCAACGCGGCAGUACGACGAGGGGGGACCAGAAUCGUACGAUCAGUUUCGUACCACUGGCCGGGGAGUUCAUCUUCGUGGUAAGGCUAAGGGUGCAAGGCCCGAAGCCGUAGGGAAACCGAUUGUCCGCAACGCCGCAAGGCGCGAGGGACGAGAUCUGAAAGGGUCUGGAAUCACGGGGAUGACACUAGAAACCAAGUGAUCUAGCCUUGAGCAGGGUGAAGCCGGGCGAAAGCCAGGUGGAGGCCCGAAGGGGUGUUGACGUGCAACUCACUCCUCUGACUUGGGGCUAGGGGCGAAAGACCAAUCUAACUUGGUGAUAGCUAGUUCCCGCCGAAAUAUCUCUAAGGAUAGUCUGGCUGGAGGUUGCCAUUGGGGUAGAGCACUGAUUGGAAAACAAGGAGCCGAAAGGUUCCACUUUCCAUUCAAACUUCGAAUCCAUUGGCGCCGUAGAAGGCCGGAAACGGGCAUGGGGGGUAAGCUCCUAUGUCGCGGGAGGAACAACUCCGACUAGGGUUAAGGUCCCGGAAUCCUGACUAAGUGUAGAAAUAGAAAGCUGUCCUCAACCAGAGACAGCUGGAAGGUAGGCUUAGAAGCAGCCAUCCUCCAAGCAGUGCGUAACAGCUGACCAGCCGAGGUUGGAGGCGCCGAAAAUGAACGGGGCUAAGUCAGGUACCGAUACCCUAGGGCACGGUCAAUAGCCGUGUUGAUAGGCGGGCGUUGGGGUCGGGUGGAAGCUGGGUUGUGAAAUCCAGUGGACCAGCCUCAAGUGUAGAUCCCGGCGGCAGUAACAGCGUUAGAGGGGUGAGAAUCCCCUCCGUCGAAAGGGCAAGGGUUCCCCGGCAAUGCGUCGUCAGCCGGAAACCGGUUAAAAUUCCGGUACUAUGGAGGUACGUGCGGCAACGCAAGCUUCCGAUCUGACGCUUCGGGAUAGGCCGAGCAGGGUCGUCGCCCUGUUUAACCUUUGAAAUCCGGGAAGUACCGUAAUGGUGAGAACCGGAUGAAGAAGGGAAUAGCCGCCCGUUUUAGGGUGGUUCAACUGAUUCCUGGAGCCAGUGAAAAGGGUCGGGGGAUGGAUCCUCCGUGACCGUACCUAGAUCCGACACAGGUGCCCCUAGGUGAGAAGCCUAAGACGUAUCGGGUGUAACUCAGGCGAGGGAACUCGGCAAAUUAGCCCCGUAACUUUGGUAUAAGGGGUGCCUGAAGCCCUAGCUUUGCUGGGGCGACAGGUCGCAGUGACUCGGGGGAGGCGACUGUUUAAUAAAAACAUAGGGGACCGCUAGCCCGAAAGGGUUUGCACGGUCCUUGAAUUCUGGCCAGUGGCGGUACCUGAAAAUUGGGUUCAACCGAUCUAAGGGCCACUAAACGCCGGGAGUAACUCUGACUCUCUUAAGGUAGCCAAAUGCCUUGUCGGGUAAGUUCCGACGUGCAUGAAUGGAUCAACGACCUCCCCGCUGUCCCCGCCUGGGGCCCGGUGAACCCACAUAACCUGGACGAACAGUCCAGGAUCUUCCAGCGGGGCGAGAAGUCCCCGUGGAGUUUUACUGCAACUUGUCGCUGGGUUGUGAUUGCGGGUACAGAGCGUAGGUGGGAGCCGUUAAGGUCGACCUCUUCGGGGGUCGACGGAGGCGCCAAUGUAACACCACCUAUCUGUGAUUACAGUUCUAACUGGACCAAAAGUCCGAGACAACGGCAGGCAGGCAGUUCGGCUGGGGCGGCACCCCCUUGAAAAAAUAUCAAGGGGGCCCAAAGCUCGACUCAUCCGGGACAGAAACCCGGAGUAGAGGGCAAGACCAAAAGUCGGGCUGACUGGAUCCUCAUCAGCAAGGGAUCCAGAGGCGAAAGCCGGGUCUAGCGAUCAUUCAUGUCCCCAUUGUUGGGGGCUGGAUGUGACAGAAAAAUUACCCCGGGAGUAAUUGGCUCGUCUCCUCUGAGAGUCCCCAUCGACGAGGAGGAUUGGUUCUCCGUCGUCGUCCCUUCCCAUCCUGGGCCCGCAGCAGGGUCCAAGGGCGCGGCUGUUCGCCGAUCAAAGGGGAAUGCGAGAUGGGUUUAGACCGUCGCGAGACAGGUCGGACUCUACCUGCUGGAAGUGUUGGUCGCCUGAGGGGAAGGCGCCCCUAGUACGAGAGGAACGGGGUAUCGUAACCUCUAGUUUACCGGUUGUCCGACAGGGCAUUGCCGGGCAGCCACGUUAUCGAGGAUAAGGGCUGAAAGCAUCUAAGCCCGAAGCCUCUCCCGAAAAUAGGCGGCCGAUCCUUUCCAAGGGACUCGGCAACGAGCCCCAGGAACGGACGAGAGCUCUCAUCGAAGAUGAGGUUGAUGGAGCAGGAGUGUACGCAUCAAGACUUCGGUCGAGAUGUUUAGCUCGCUGCCCCCAAUCGCUCAAGGUGCUGAGCU